RNAcentral lists this ribosomal RNA (254 nucleotides) under uncultured bacterium. RNAcentral's name for it is "partial 16S ribosomal RNA". It matches the Rfam family "Bacterial small subunit ribosomal RNA", at positions 524 to 776 of the family's 1533-position model. The record is from RNAcentral.
UACGUAGGCAGCGAGCGUUUGUUCGGAGUUACUGGGCGUAAAGGGUGUGUAGGCGGUUGUUUAAGUUUGGUGUGAAAUCUCCCGGCUCAACUGGGAGGGUGCGCCGAAUACUGAAUGACUAGAGUGUGGGAGAGGUGAGUGGAAUUCCUGGUGUAGUGGUGAAAUGCGUAGAUAUCAGGAGGAACACCGGUGGUGUAGACGGCUCACUGGACCAUAACUGACGCUGAGACACGAAAGCGUGGGUAGCAAACAGG